RNAcentral lists this long non-coding RNA (6751 nucleotides) under Daucus carota (carrot). RNAcentral describes it as "long non-coding RNA (DCAR_LNC002104)". Lineage: Eukaryota; Viridiplantae; Streptophyta; Magnoliopsida; Apiales; Apiaceae. The record is from RNAcentral.
UGAAUGGCUAGUCUAUGAUUGCGAGUAAAGUUAAGGCUAGGCGGAGGAGUCGAGAGGUGUUAAGGAUCCAGUGGUCGAGAAGUGUCCAGGAAGAUUGAUAAGGUUGAUGCUAGCUCGAGUUGUGCUAUUGAGAUUCAGAUGUAAGUCAUAGCUGGAAUAGUUGACAGUGAUUCUUCUUAUCGAAGAUGAUCUGAUUUGGUAAGAGAUGUUGGGUAAUAAUAGUGGUUGAUUCUAAUUUCAAUACUGUAACCUGGAAGCGAUCCUGUUGUUUUGGGGGUGAAGAUGUUCUCUUUCAAAUCUUUCAUUUAACGUCUUUCAGAUCUUUUAUUAUGGCUUUCAAGUUUGAAUUUCAGGUUUUAAAUUCUCUGAUUUUAUUAUCUUUUGAAAAAAAAAUUACAGGUUUUUAAAGUGUUUUAAAAAUGAUUUUAAGUGGUGACGUCAGGAUCCAGACCCCCGGAUUCAUGGACCGUCACAGUUGGUAUCAGAGCAACAGGUUACAAGUUAUUGAAAUUUGAAUAUAGAUUAUAGUUUUAAGUUUUAUAGAAAAUAGACGUUGUGUGACCAUAUAUAGAGGUAUUGUGAGACUAAUUGGUAAUAGUCUAGAGAGGUGAUAUGAAUAGAGUCUAGUUAGACGAUUAAGCUGAGUGUAUAGGUUUAGAGAGAUUUUGAUUCCUAAGUUUAAACAUUUCAUUUCUAGUAUGUUGGCUUAUUUAGAAUUGUGAAUCGUGAGAAAGGUCAGUAUUAGACCUAGAUAAGAGAAUUUUGAUAGUGAAUGAUUGAGUUGAGAAUGGUAAAAAUGCAGAGUUCAGAGUAUUCUGACUAUACUGCAUAGUUGAAAAUGGUCUACUGUAUUGAUUUGAGAAUGAUAAAGAUGCAUGGUUCAUAGUAUGUUGACUAUGUCAGAUAUUUGGAAGAUGUAUAUGAUUUUAGUGAGAUAUGAAGAGUUAGUGUAGAAUACGAGUUGUGCUGAAUUAGAAGGAGAGAUUGGUAGAUAAAGGUUGAUAGAUGAGGAGUGCAUGAUAGAGAGUAGGUGGAGUUGAGUCAAGUUAUUAGAAAUGAUAUCUACGAGUAAGUUAGAACGUUAGUCCUCGACGACAACGCUUUAAGUAAGCGGGACAAGGUGGGCCCAGACGGAAUCCUUAUAAGGGGGGUAGAAUGUAAUAUCCCAUAUUAUUAAAUUCAAAUCGAAGAUACGUUACGUGUUUGUGCUAUGGAUUUCAAAGGCAAUUGGGAUACAGUAGAAGAAUGUAAACUACAUGGGCCAGAGUUAUUACGGAUGAUAACGUCUACGAUGACAUCUUACGAGGCUAAUACGAGUCAAAUCGUUUGAUAUUUAAGAACGUUGAAAAGAAGACAUAUAUUGUACAAUGAUUUAUUGAAGUAGAGUCGGAAUCUGAGAAGACCUUGGCAAUACCUCUCUUCAACUAAAGAUUCUUUUGAUUGUUUUCUCAUCAGUGAGAUAUUAUCAUGAUAUCUUUUCUACAAAAGUUUUGAUAAAUGAGAUCUUCAAUUUCUCAAAUUCUAAGAUGAUAUUGGUAUUGAUUAUUGGUAUGAGUUGGAAAGCAAAGAUGUGUGAUAAAGGUUUGUUGUGAAGAGAUAGUGAUGUUCCUUGAUAUUGUUUGACAUUUCUUGACAUUCCUUGAUACCCUUUCAUCUUCCUUGAUAUCCCUUAGUGUUCUUUGAUAUUGUUGAUAUUCCUUGAUAUUCUCUGAUAUUCCUUAACAUUUCUUCAAUUUGAUUGGGAUGAACAACCCUAUUUAUAGGGGACACAAGGUAUACCUGUCUGUGUGAUAGGAGUUGGAUGGGACGCCAUCACUUGUGUGUGUUGUGAUUACAAGAAGGUUAACAACCUUUAGUAGUGUCUAAUGUGGACACGCAACACCAAGUUCGUUGAUCAUAUAGAUCUCUCAGUCACUCCUUUAUUCAAAUGUGAUCUACCUUGAAAACAUUUUGUUCUAUUCAAAAUUCCAAAAGAUUGAUUCUUGGGAAAUGAAUUUUGCAAUUGUAAAAGUUUGAUUUUCCUUUUUCAUUAAAGUUAAAGGUAUGCCAAGAUCAACCAAAGGUGAAUGACGAUAUGAUAUUACGAAGCGUGUACGUUUUAGUUUCUUCGGAGGAUUCCGAGGACGGAAUCCUUAUAAGGGGGGUAGAAUGUAAUAUCCCAUAUUAUUAAAUUUAGAUGUGAUUAUUAUAAAUCUAUUUGUCUAGAUAUUAUUGUUGGCUCUAGUUGAAUAUUGAUAUGAUUAUGUGAAUAGUUGUAUGUGAUUAUACUUGUUUUGUGGAUUGAUAUGGAUUUUACAAAUUAUGCGUCCUCCUUCUUUCUCUGAUUCCGAGGACGGAAUCCCUAUAAGGAGGGUAGAUUGUAAUAACCCGGAUUUUAAAAAUAUUUUUAUUAAUAUUAUAAAUGAUUUUCUUAAAAAGUAGGGAAUAAGAUUUAAUAUUUUAUUCCAGUUUAAUGAGUUUUCAAAGUUUUAUAUUUAAACCCCGGGUUAUUGUGUUAUUGAUAAAUGAUUAUAUUUUUAAAACUGAUUUUCAUAUAUUGUUUCGAAAAUUCUAGAUGAUUAUUAUGUGAAUAUAUGUGUGAUGUGAGUAAGUGGUAUUGGUGGAUUUGUUGGUUAAUUAAUUAUGGUUAAUUAUGAGUAUUAUAUGAUUAAUAUAUGAAUUUUUGUGAAUUUUAUAUUAUCUGGUUUAUUGCGUUAACUGCUCAUAUGUGUUCGUAUUUGAGAAAUUUCAAUUUCUAUAUGCUCAGGAGAAAAUAUAGUUUAUUUGGAUAUUUUCAUAUCGAUUUAUGGAAUGUUAGAUGAUUUUAUAAUCGAUUUACGGAUUUAAUUGCGUAUAUUUAUAUUUAUUGAUUAAUUAUUUGACUUCCGUAAAACCGUCCACUCGUAACGAGGUAGCAAAUUUUCUUCCCGGAAGUUUCAACAAAACUCACCUUUAGCCUAAUUGGAAUAUUCCGGACACUUUUCGUGUUUUGACUUUUUCGAUCCGGAGUACGGUUUUCCCCGGAGUCGGUCCGGCGGAGUUUUUCGGGUAUUUUAAUUGUUGAUAAUUAUCCAGAUUGUCUCGAUAAACGUGAAACUAGAUAUUUUGAUUCAUCCUUAUCUUGUAAUAAUUGCAGUGGGACCUGCAUACUAAUGAUUGAGUUAAAAAGCCCCGUUUUGAUGAUUAUCUCGUAAACCGGUACCGAUUGGACCCCGCUUUAUUAAUAUAAAGCUAUUAAAUAUCGUAUUUUCAUGUCAUAAAUGAUCCAAAGGGGUACCAAUUAUUUGUAAAUAUAAAUAGACCUUUCUAGAGCUUAUUUUCACCCGUAAAAAUCAUUUCACCAGUUUCUUUCCAUGAAUACCGAGAGAAAACGAGCGGUGUUCUUCGUGUUCUUCAUAAUCAAACGCAGAUUUGGAGGUGUUAUUGGAAUCCGAUGGAGGCGUAUGAAUAGUCAAAACGAAGCUAUCGACGUGUAGAUUAUAGUUUAAUCAUUCGUUUGUGUGCAGAUUCAACAGGUAAAUUACUAUUAAUUGUUGAAAAUUCGAGUUAUAUUGAUUUGAAAUAUGAAUUUUUGCAAACGUGGUUGUUUGAUUGUUUUGAUGAUUCCAUGUUGUAGAACGUGUUUUUCUCGUCGUUUUGGUAUAUUAUAUGUUGAUUUUUGAGUUCCAUAACACCUAUAAAAAGGGGUUUGAUUCUUGGAGUUGUGUUCUUGGAGGUUAUGAAUGUUCUUAAUCGAAUUUGGGCGUUUCUUUGUUAUUGAUUCUGGGUUGUUCUUGGUUAUACCAUUAGAAAGGUCUAGUUACAAGGAGCUUGUAGGUGUCUUCAAAACUAGCAAAGGAGGUCGGAAUCAAACGCCGGAAUCUGGAGAAGACUCGCCGGCGGCGAGAUUUCUCCGAGAUUUUCCGGACAAAUUACGCAUCCUUUGCUAAUUCUGAUGGUAUAGAUCGAUUCCUGGCAGUAAAAUCUUGUGAUCUGGAGGUUUUGGUGCGUGUUGAAGCGCUGUAGCGCCGUUUCCGGCGAAUCAACGGCGGCUGGGGGGUGCCGCUGCGAAAAUUGCAAUUAGGUCCCCCUAGUUGUGAAGAUGAUGAAGGUUUGACACUGGAGUUUGAUUAUUGACAUUCUAGCUCUCGAACUUUUGAAAGUUUACACCUGGCACCCUGCCAGACAAUUUCAGUAUGUUUACAUUUUAAACCUUCUCAAAUUUAUUUCAAAAAAAUUCAUUUUAGUGAUUUAUUUUAAUUUCAAAAAUAGUUUUUAAUUAUUUCUUUAUUCAAAAAUAAAUCUAAUUUGAUUUAUUAAUUAAUUUUAAUUAGUAAUUAAUUAUUUUAAUUGGUCAAUUAAUUUAAAUAUUAAUUGAUUAAUUAAUUUAAUUAAUUGUUAAUUGAUUUUAAUUGAUUAAUUAAUUGGAUUUAAUUAAUCCUUUUUAAUUUAAAAAUUUCGAAAAAUAGUUUCGAGCUUUAAAAUAUUUUUCCAAAUUAUUUUCAAGGCUCGAUAAUUGUUUAUGAAUGAUUUCAAGUCCAAUUUCAAGUAUUUGGGACUUGAUUAUUUAUUCGAAAAGUGAUUCUUUUAUCGAUUUUAAUUCCGAAAAAUGUUUAAAAAUUCUGGAAAAUUCCCGAAAAAUCAUUUUUAACCCAAGACUUGAUUUAAUAUCAAUUGGGAUGGGAAACCUUAUGUGUUGUGUGUUGUCUGCUAUGGGUUGGAUGUGUUAUGUGCCGAUAUAAGAGUGAGAAAACGGUUUUAAACAUAUCUUUUGAUCCGUAAGUCGGAAUCAAGUGAAACGAAAGAGAGAUAGAAGCUCGUGAAGCCUAUUUCAAUAUGACAUGAUAAUAUGGUGGAGUCAAGAAUGUGAUGAGGUGUUGUUAAAUAUGUAGAAUGUGAUAAUAUGUGAUCUAAUUGUUAUUAAGUGAUGAUUACGUGAUAUACGUGUUUAUUCAUGAUAUUAUACACAUGUGAUAAACGAUUUGAGUGACAUAGUAUCAUGAUUCGUAUGAUUGAUAUUGAAUAAGAACAUGUGGAUUAUAGGAAUUGGAAUUGGUUGAUUAGUUGUCAGGUGGAUAGUCUUAUACAUAGACGAGACGAUGUCGGAUUUUCGAUAAGGAUUUAUAUGAUAAUUGAUUGGUGAUAUGUUAUGUGGAAUAUGAUUGACUAUAUGUUAGAGUCAAAGCAUGCUUAUGUGUUACGUGGUAUCUGAUAAGUUUAAAGGGAUAUAUAAGUGGGUAUUGAUAUACGUGAGAUGUAUAUGCGAUCGAUUGUUUAGUGAUUAUAGUGUUAUCUUAUUCUCGUAAAGGAUUUGGACGAGACGUGUAUGCCCGAAGACGUUCAGAAAGUCACGUGGUGUUACAAAGCGAAUAAGGGAUGAAUCGAGUAAGCGAAGCGAAGAUGUACGGUAGAUAGAGUAUAGCCAGAGAUGGUCUAGAGACUAUGAGAUGCAUAGAUUGUGAAAGUGGAAAGAUGAGAUUGAGAUGUGAGACUGGAGUCAGAUUUAAGGCAAGUAUCCUGCACCCUGCUUUUGGAUAUAUUGCAAAUAUUCUGAUUCAUUCUUUUGAUGUGUUGCAAGUAUCCUAAACCUUUCUCUUGGAUAUAUUGCAAAUAUUCUGAUUCAUUCCUUUGGUAUAUGUUUCAAGUAUUCAUACCUUUCUUUUCAAUGUUCGAAAGUGCGAGUAUUCUGACCCAUUCUUUCUAAUCUUCAAGUUUCUAAAGAAUUUCCGUUUUACAAAUUAAUUCGAAGUUCAGAUUGUCAUUGAAGCAUGUGUUGCUCAGUGAUAGUUAGAGCUUUGAAUGAAUUGGGAUCUUCUUGAUUAUUCAACCCGCCAUUGUCAUGCUGGUUUAGCAGGCUAAAUUCAGUUGCUUAGCCGAUAAUGGAGGAUACUGAAUAGUUGAGGAUUUCCUGAACUGUGAUUUAUGAAAUGAUGGAUCAUAAUUUAUGAAUAGAUUAUUAUCAAAGUUUGAUUUGGAAUUAUUCUGUUGUUGAUGAUAUUUAUGAUGAUGUUCUGUUGAUUUACACUGACCUGUUAAACUGAAUUAGAGAAUUGGAUUAUUGUUUUUAUAUAAACCUGUGGACCAGAUUCGUGGUCAUGUUAGGCCAAUGAGUGCCUUGGAUCCAGUGAUAGAGCAUGGCGGGGCCUGCUCGGGGUUAGGUAUGACUGAUCAGCAUCCUAACCUUGGUUUUUAAUUAAAAUGUGAUAGUCCAAUUCAAUAAUUCUCUUGUGAAGGAUUGAAUUCCUCAGGUUUCUAUUGCUGCAAGGUAUUGUGAUUCUUUUAUACAAUACCUGAAUUUGUGAACUCAGGUUGAAUCUUUUUAUAUCUUGAACUCGAGAAUUUCUGUUAUAUCAUUUCAGAACUUUCAUUGUUUAUUACUACUUGCUGAGCAUUGUUGCUCACUCUUGCUAUUCUCUUUUAACCAUUUCAGAAAGGAUUAAAGAUGAAUGGCUAGUCUAUGAUUGCGAGUAAAGUUAAGGCUAGGCGGAGGAGUCGAGAGGUGUUAAGGAUCCAGUGGUCGAGAAGUGUCCAGGAAGAUUGAUAAGGUUGAUGCUAGCUCGAGUUGUGCUAUUGAGAUUCAGAUGUAAGUCAUAGCUGGAAUAGUUGACAGUGAUUCUUCUUAUCGAAGAUGAUCUGAUUUGGUAAGAGAUGUUGGGUAAUAAUAGUGGUUGAUUCUAAUUUCAAUACUGUAACCUGGAAGCGAUCCUGUUGUUUUGGGGGUGAAGAUGUUCUCUUUCAAAUCUUUCAUUUAACGUCUUUCAGAUCUUUUAUUAUGGCUUUCAAGUUUGAAUUU